Molecule: ribosomal RNA, 495 nt
Filed under: uncultured bacterium
Lineage: Bacteria
Description: partial 16S ribosomal RNA
Rfam family: Bacterial small subunit ribosomal RNA
Source: RNAcentral
GAUGAACGCUGGCGGCGUGCCUAAUACAUGCAAGUCGAACGCUGAAGGAGGAGCUUGCUCUUCUGGAUGAGUUGCGAACGGGUGAGUAACGCGUAGGUAACCUGCCUGGUAGCGGGGGAUAACUAUUGGAAACGAUAGCUAAUACCGCAUGACAACAGUUAUUGCAUAAUAACUGUUUAAAAGGGGCAACUGCUCCACUACCAGAUGGACCUGCGUUGUAUUAGCUAGUUGGUGAGGUAACGGCUCACCAAGGCGACGAUACAUAGCCGACCUGAGAGGGGGAUCGGCCACACUGGGACUGAGACACGGCCCAGACUCCUACGGGAGGCAGCAGUAGGGAAUCUUCGGCAAUGGACGGAAGGCUGACCGAGCAACGCCGCGUGAGUGAAGAAGGUUUUCGGGUCGUAAAGCUCUGUUGUAAGAGAAGAACGAGUGUGAGAGUGGAAAGUUCACACUGUGACGGUAUCUGACCAGAAAGGGACGGCUAACUACGUG